This 605-nucleotide ribosomal RNA is filed under the name Photobacterium damselae. RNAcentral's name for it is "partial 23S ribosomal RNA". It matches the Rfam family "Bacterial large subunit ribosomal RNA", at positions 1259 to 1848 of the family's 2925-position model. The record is from RNAcentral. Lineage: Bacteria; Pseudomonadati; Pseudomonadota; Gammaproteobacteria; Vibrionales; Vibrionaceae.
CAUUGUAAAGUGUGCUGGAGGUAUCAGAAGUGCGAAUGCUGACAUGAGUAACGACAAAGGGAGUGAAAAACUCCCUCGCCGGAAGACCAAGGGUUCCUGUCCAACGUUAAUCGGGGCAGGGUGAGUCGACCCCUAAGGCGAGGCCGAAAGGCGUAGUCGAUGGGAAACGGGUUAAUAUUCCCGUACUUCUUACUAUUGCGAUGGGGGGACGGAGAAGGCUAGGUGAGCCUGGCGACGGUUGUCCAGGUCCAAGUACGUAGGUGGAUGAAUUAGGCAAAUCCGGUUCAUCACUAACACUGAGAUACGAUGUCGAGCUACUACGGUAGCGAAGUCAUUGAUGCCAUGCUUCCGGGAAAAGCCUCUAAGCUUCAGAUAGUAAGAAAUCGUACCCCAAACCGACACAGGUGGUCAGGUAGAGAAUACCAAGGCGCUUGAGAGAACUCGGGUGAAGGAACUAGGCAAAAUGGUACCGUAACUUCGGGAGAAGGUACGCUCUUAACGGUGAAGUCCCUCGCGGAUGGAGCUGUCGAGAGUCGCAGAUACCAGGUGGCUGCAACUGUUUAUUAAAAACACAGCACUGUGCAAAAUCGAAAGAUGACGUAUAC